AUGUGGACCUGUCUUCGUCAGCGCUAUGAGCCCUCUGGUGAUGCCUUAUACCUUUCUGUGGUUCGUCAGGAGCAUGCUCUUCAGCAGGGUGACUCUACUGUUGAUGACUUUUAUGCACAGAGUUCUGCUAUCUGGCGCCAGCUUGAUUCUCUCCGUAGUGCUGGUUGUCGUACUUGCCCCUGCUGCCAGGCUGUCCAGGCCGAUUUGGAGUUUCAUCGCGUCUACGAGUUCCUCUCGGCUCCGUAA
Molecule: ribosomal RNA, 246 nt
Filed under: Triticum aestivum (bread wheat)
Lineage: Eukaryota; Viridiplantae; Streptophyta; Magnoliopsida; Poales; Poaceae
Description: partial small subunit ribosomal RNA
Source: RNAcentral